CCUGAAUUCGAAAGGGAUUGGAUUCAAGUCCUACCGAGCGUGGGGACGUCCGCGCCAGAUGGCGCCGGUCGCCCGCGGCGAUUUGUUUCGCUUGCGGUGUCGUUCCCGGCGAUCACUCGGCCGCGCGACAGUUUCCCCCUGCGCCGGAGGGGUGCACUUCCUCCCUAGUAGAAACGUCGCGACCCGUUGGGUGCCGGUCUCAAGGCCCGGGAUGGCAGACCGCGCGUCCCGUGGGGGUCCUCCCCACGGGCGCGCGGACUCCCGGUGACCCGGCCGGCUGCCCGACGGUAGGACCAGAGGGGUCGAUCCGCUACCUGUGAAACACUUUGGUUUGUGUAGCGUCCGGCCCGGCGCCGAGGCGUGCGGGGAUUGAGGUGCAAACCGGGGGUGCCCGUGCUAAGCACGGCCCCGGCCCCGCCGCGUCCUCGGAUACGUCGGAGUCCUCGGACCGGAUCAGCACUCCCGUCCGCGACGCCCACCUUCGGAUGGUCUCCCG
This 496-nucleotide ribosomal RNA is filed under the name Calvisia marmorata. RNAcentral describes it as "partial large subunit ribosomal RNA". Lineage: Eukaryota; Metazoa; Arthropoda; Insecta; Phasmatodea; Lonchodidae. The record is from RNAcentral.